This 1239-nucleotide ribosomal RNA is filed under the name metagenome. RNAcentral's name for it is "bacterial LSU rRNA". It matches the Rfam family "Bacterial large subunit ribosomal RNA", at positions 1564 to 2813 of the family's 2925-position model. The record is from RNAcentral.
UGAAUACGAGACGCUAAGGCGUCGAAGUAGUGUAUGUCAUACUUCCAAGAAAAGCUUGCACUGUCAUAGAUAAAAAACGCCUGUACCAUAACCGACACAGGUGGGUAGGUAGAGUAUACUAAGGGGCGCGAGAUAACUCUCUCUAAGGAACUCGGCAAAAUAACUCCGUAACUUCGGGAGAAGGAGUGCCUUAUUAUUAAGGCUGCAAUAACAAGAUCCAAGCAACUGUUUAUCAAAAACACAGGUCUCCGCUAAGUCGUAAGACGAUGUAUGGGGGCUGACGCCUGCCCAGUGCCAGAAGGUUAAAGAAGUUGGUUAGCAUUUGCGAAGCUGAUAACUGAAGCCCUGGUGAACGGCGGCCGUAACGAUAACGGUCCUAAGGUAGCGAAAUUCCUUGUCGGGUAAGUUCCGACCCGCACGAAAGGCGUAAUGAUUUGGAUACUGUCUCGGAGAGGGGCUCGGUGAAAUAGACUUGUCUGUGAAGAUGCGGACUACCUGCACCAGGACAGAAAGACCCUAUGAAGCUUUACUGUAACUUGAAAUUGAAAUUGGACUUUAUUCGCGCAGCAUAGGUGGGAGGCGUUGAUUAUAAUCUUGUGGGAUUAUUGGAGCCAUCAGUGAGAUACCACUCUUGUAACGUUAGAUUUCUAACUUUGAAUCAUUAUCUGGUCAAAGAACAGUUUCAGGCGGGCAGUUUGACUGGGGCGGUCGCCUCCUAAACGGUAACGGAGGCGUACAAAGGUUUCCUCUGAACGGUUAGAAAUCGUAUCUAGAGUGUAAAGGCAUAAGGAAGCUUGACUGUGAGACCUACAAGUCGAGCAGGGACGAAAGUCGGUCUUAGUGAUCUGACGGUACUGAGUGGAAAGGCCGUCACUCAACGGAUAAAAGUUACUCUAGGAUAACAGGCUGAUCUCCCCCAAGAGUUCACAUCGACGGGGAGGUUUGGCACCUCGAUGUCGGCUCAUCGCAUCCUGGGGCGGUAGUACGUCCCAAGGGUUGGGCUGUUCGCCCAUGAAAGCGGUACGCGAGCUGGGUUCAGAACGUCGUGAGACAGUUCGGUCCGUAUCCGGUGUAGGCGUUAGAAUAUUGAGAGGAGCCUUCUUUAGUACGAGAGGACCGAGAAGGACAUACCUCUGGUGUACCGGUUAUCGUGCCAACGGUAAACGCUGGGUAGCUAUGUAUGGAGUGGAUAACCGCUGAAAGCAUCUAAGUGGGAAGCCCACCUCAAGAUAAGUAUCC